Non-coding RNA from Xyrichtys novacula (pearly razorfish), 493 nucleotides. NCBI's taxonomy places the organism in Eukaryota, Metazoa, Chordata, Actinopteri, Labriformes, Labridae. The record is from the annotation of a GenBank genome assembly.
UGGAUUUUAAGAAAGUAAGCACAUUUUUUCACUCCCCUCUGUUAUUUUGGGAUCUAAGAGAAAUUUUAACUGAACUUCAUCUCUUAGUUUAUUUCCCAACAUCAUUUUGGGGAGUGCAAGGCACAAUCACCCCCUAUCAUCCUGCAAAGGGCACACAUGAAAUGACUUGUCACUGCACUCAACACUUGGUGAUAAAACUUAGAGAGGCUCCACAGCUGCAGAUACUAAUGACCCGCCCACAUGGGUGUCAGAAAGUCUUGUUGCUCAGUGACAGGGAGCUUGAAAAGAAUUAGAAAAAACAAGCAUCAAAGAAUACAGAUGGUGUAAUAUAAUAACUGGGUGUACUUAGUGAGAAUUUGGACCCGGGGAAGUGUAAAUUGUGUGUCAUUAAGCUAUCUGUGGGUGAUUUGUUGGUGCUGAGACACAUGCGAAUGUUACAAUCCGAGAGAACGUAUAAUAAACUUCAAUUACACUCAAAAUAACUUUUCCACUG